Molecule: long non-coding RNA, 1008 nt
Filed under: Apteryx haastii (Great spotted kiwi)
Lineage: Eukaryota; Metazoa; Chordata; Aves; Apterygiformes; Apterygidae
Description: lncRNA (ENSAHAG00000016900.1)
Source: RNAcentral
AUGUUGGCGUUCUUGGACCUUCUUAGACAUGCAAGAUCCCCUACAGCCCCCGUGUAUUUUGUCUCAGCACUGUUUGGGAAGGCUGGUCUCCAUGAUUUUGGGCACACAAGCCCAGACCAGACCUGGACAUUCCCGUGGAAACUGCCRGCCCCUGGCAGGAUUUGUGCCGUAAUCGCCUCAGAAACCCAUGCUUCUGCAGUUCCCGCUUUGACACCAACGCUAUCUAAAGCAUCUUUUCUCACCUUUUCUGCGGGAGUGUGUGCGUGUGAGACACAGGAUGUUAAGAACAUUUAUAAACCAGUUUGUGAACGGGCCCUGAUAGUCCGGGUUUGCUCUGUCCCUGCAAUUAUGACCGGGUGRACCGAGACGCUAUUUCAGCGUCUCUGUGUUCCCCCGCACCAUGAGAACGCAGUCGUGCACACUUCACUGAUGUCCCACACUGCUCAGAUGGCCCGCACUGCUAUCUCUGGUGUCCCACACCGCUAUCUCAGGUGUCCCACACUGCUAUCUCUGGUGUCCCACACCGCUAUCUCUGGUGUCCCACACCACUACCUCAGGUGUCCCACGCUGCUGUCUCUGGUGUCCCACACCGCUAUCUCAGGUGUCCCACACCACUAUCUCAGAUGUCCCACACUGCUAUCUAUCAUCUCAGGUGUUCCAUACUGCUAUCUCUGGUGUCGCACACUGCUGUCUCUGGUGUCCCACACUGCUAUCUCAGGUGUCCCACACCGCUAUCUCAGGUGUCCCACACCGCUAUCUAUCUCAGGUGUCGCACACUGCUGUCUCUGGUGUCCCACACUGCUAUCUCAGGUGUCCCACACCGCUAUCUAUCUCAGGUGUCCCACACUGCUGUCCCUGGUGUCCCACACCACUAUCUCAGAUGUCCCACACUGCUGUCUCAGAUGUCCCACACUGCUAUCUCAGGUGUCCCACACUGUUAUCUCUGGUGUCCCACACUGCUAUCUAUCUCAGGUGUUCCACACUGCUAUCUCAGGCUCCUAUUGCUAG